GGAUAACUUACCCUUAGGACUGGGAUAACUCUGGGAAACUGGGGAUAAUACUGGAUAUUAGGCUAUGCCUGGAAUGGUUUGCCUUUGAAAUGUUUUUUUUCGCCUAAGGAUAGGUCUGCGGCUGAUUAGGUCGUUGGUGGGGUAAUGGCCCACCAAGCCGAUGAUCGGUACGGGUUGUGAGAGCAAGGGCCCGGAGAUCGAACCUGAGACAAGGUUCCAGACCCUACGGGGUGCAGCAGGCGCGAAACCUCCGCAAUGUACGAAAGUGCGACGGGGGGAUCCCAAGUGUUAUGCUUUUUUGUAUGACUUUUCAUUAGUGUAAAAAGCUUUUAGAAUAAGAGCUGGGCAAGACCGGUGCCAGCCGCCGCGGUAACACCGGCAGCUCGAGUGGUAGCUGUUUUUAUUGGGCCUAAAGCGUUCGUAGCCGGUUUGAUAAGUCUUUGGUGAAAGCUUGUAGCUUAACUAUAAGAAUUGCUGGAGAUACUAUUAGACUUGAAGUCGGGAGAGGUUAGAGGUACUACCGGGGUAGGGGUGAAAUCCUAUAAUCCUGGGAGGACCACCUGUGGCGAAGGCGUCUAACUGGAACGAUCUUGACGGUGAGUAACGAAAGCCAGGGGCGCGAACCGGAUUAGAUACCCGGGUAGUCCUGGCCGUAAACGAUGUGGACUUGGUGUUGGAAUGGCUUUGAGUUGUUCCGGUGCCGAAGGGAAGCUGUUAAGUCCACCGCCUGGGAAGUACGGUCGCAAGACUGAA
Molecule: ribosomal RNA, 753 nt
Filed under: uncultured archaeon
Lineage: Archaea
Description: bacterial SSU rRNA
Rfam family: Archaeal small subunit ribosomal RNA
Source: RNAcentral